CAAUAGCGUAUAUUAAAGUUGUUGCAGUUAAAAAGCUCGUAGUUGGAUUUCGGGGCAGCCUGGCUGGUCCGCCGCAAGGCGAGUACUGGUCAGCCGCCCUUCCUCUCGAAAGCCCCGACUGCUCUUCGUUGCAGUGGUCGGGUAGUUCGGGACGUUUACUUUGAAAAAAUUAGAGUGUUCAAGGCAGGCCUACGCCUGAAUACAUUAGCAUGGAAUAAUGGAAGAGGACCUCGGUCCUAUUUUGUUGGUUUCCAGGGCCGAAGUAAUGAUUAAGAGGGACAGUUGGGGGCAUUCGUAUAUAAUUGUCAGAGGUGAAAUUCUCGGAUUUAUGAAAGACGAACAACUGCGAAAGCAUUUGCCAAGGAUGUUUUCAUUAA
This 377-nucleotide ribosomal RNA is filed under the name uncultured eukaryote. RNAcentral's name for it is "partial 18S ribosomal RNA". It matches the Rfam family "Eukaryotic small subunit ribosomal RNA", at positions 592 to 976 of the family's 1831-position model. The record is from RNAcentral.